AAAUUGAAGAGUUUGAUCAUGGCUCAGAUUGAACGCUGGCGGCAGGCCUAACACAUGCAAGUCGAACGGUAACAGGAAGCAGCUUGCUGCUUUGCUGACGAGUGGCGGACGGGUGAGUAAUGUCUGGGAAACUGCCUGAUGGAGGGGGAUAACUACUGGAAACGGUAGCUAAUACCGCAUAACGUCGCAAGACCAAAGAGGGGGACCUUCGGGCCUCUUGCCAUCGGAUGUGCCC
This 235-nucleotide ribosomal RNA is filed under the name Escherichia coli. Its description in RNAcentral is "partial 16S ribosomal RNA". It matches the Rfam family "Bacterial small subunit ribosomal RNA", at positions 1 to 232 of the family's 1533-position model. Lineage: Bacteria; Pseudomonadati; Pseudomonadota; Gammaproteobacteria; Enterobacterales; Enterobacteriaceae. The record is from RNAcentral.